ACGCUGGCGGCGUGCCUAAUACAUGCAAGUAGAACGCUGAAGGAGGAGCUUGCUUCUCUGGAUGAGUUGCGAACGGGUGAGUAACGCGUAGGUAACCUGCCUGGUAGCGGGGGAUAACUAUUGGAAACGAUAGCUAAUACCGCAUAACAGUAGAUGUUGCAUGACAUUUGCUUAAAAGGUGCAAUUGCAUCACUACCAGAUGGACCUGCGUUGUAUUAGCUAGUUGGUGGGGUAACGGCUCACCAAGGCGACGAUACAUAGCCGACCUGAGAGGGUGAUCGGCCACACUGGGACUGAGACACGGCCCAGACUCCUACGGGAGGCAGCAGUAGGGAAUCUUCGGCAAUGGACGGAAGUCUGACCGAGCGACGCCGCGUGAGUGAAGAAGGUUUUCGGAUCGUAAAGCUCUGUUGUAAGAGAAGAACAGGUGUGAGAGUGGAAAGUUCACACUGUGACGGUAUCUUACCAGAAAGGGACGGCUAACUACGUGCCAGCAGCCGCGGUAAUACGUAGGUCCCGAGCGUUGUCCGGAUUUAUUGGGCGUAAAGCGAGCGCAGGCGGUUAGAUAAGUCUGAAGUUAAAGGCUGCGGCUUAACCAUAGUACGCUUUGGAAACUGUUUAACUUGAGUGCAAGAGGGGAGAGUGGAAUUCCAUGUGUAGCGGUGAAAUGCGUAGAUAUAUGGAGGAACACCGGUGGCGAAAGCGGCUCUCUGGCUUGUAACUGACGCUGAGGCUCGAAAGCGUGGGGAGCAAACAGGAUUAGAUACCCCUGGUAGUCCACGCCGUAAACGAUGAGUGCUAGGUGUUAGACCCUUUCCGGGGUUUAGUGCCGCAGCUAACGCAUUAAGCACUCCGCCUGGGGAGUACGACCGCAAGGUUGAAACUCAAAGGAAUUGACG
This 899-nucleotide ribosomal RNA is filed under the name uncultured bacterium. RNAcentral describes it as "bacterial SSU rRNA". It matches the Rfam family "Bacterial small subunit ribosomal RNA", at positions 33 to 915 of the family's 1533-position model. The record is from RNAcentral.